GGACUACUGGGGUAUCUAAUCCUGUUUGCUCCCCCAGCUUUCGGGCCUGAGCGUCAGGUCGUGGCCAGGACGCUGCCUUCGCCGUCGGUGUUCUUCCGGAUCUCUACGCAUUUCACCGCUCCACCCGGAGUUCCACGUCCCUCUCCACGCCUCAAGCGCGCCCGUUUGGCAGGCCCCCUCCCAGUUGAGCCGAGAGAUUUCACCCGCCACUGCAGCACGCCGCCUGCUCCCCCUUUACGCCCAGUAACUCCGGACAACGCUCGUCUCCUACGUAUUACCGCGGCUGCUGGCAC
This 293-nucleotide ribosomal RNA is filed under the name uncultured bacterium. Its description in RNAcentral is "partial 16S ribosomal RNA". The record is from RNAcentral.